CUCUCAGGAGAAAGGGAGAUUCCCUGCUGUACCACCUUGCACUACCUAACACCACAUCUGCACUAGAUUAGUCCCUAACUGACUGAUUGCUCCUGCCCUCCCUUACAGUUGCCUCACUACAUCUGAUCCUGCUUUGUUUUCCUGCCUACUGCUCUGCUGCUGAGUGCCUGGCUGGAGGCCUGAGGGGCUCCUGGACUGAUCUUCAACAAACAAAGCCCCUCCACCACUCCAGCCAUCUUUUACAUCUGCCUCAGCAGCCUUCCAUGUGUGUUUUUGCCCUUGUCUGGUGGGGAACCGAGAGAUAACAGACAACUUUCCCAGCGUCAGACAGGACAUCUGUAACAGAACCAGGAAUUGGAUUUCCUGUGUCCCUGUCCAGGCAGUUAAUAACCUGGCAGUUUCCUGCAUUUUCUCCUCAGUACAACCAAUGCUCAGGUCAGAGACAGUUGAUGGCAGAGCUUGGAACUAAACCCAGAUCUCCUGAGUCUCAUUUUGUGCCUCCACUACAAAAUCAAUCAUCCUCCAUUUUAGAGGUCUACCUGCUUGAGUAGGAAGCUGAGGGGGGACUAUCUGGCUCAAGGAACUUGGAUUUUUCAAAUAAAGGGAUCAGCUGUUAUGUAGCUGCUUAAAUGUGUGGUAUAAAAAAAAAGCAAAGGCCUUAAACUUUGAUCGAAAAAAGGUUGCAAAGAUAAAACAAAAGGCAUUGUGUAAAAGUGUGGGCUAGGAAAAGAGGGAGAAUGUCUGGCCUUGUGGUAAUCAGCAGUUACUGAGACAGCAAGAAAAAGAAAUGAAAAUAAUGUUUUUGUAACUGUUACCGCAGCUAGGUUUCUAAAAAAUGUCACUAUAUGUUCACGUGGGUGAACAUAUAGGUGGCUGUUAAAAAGGUAUAUAAGCCUUUUGCUUUAACGUUUGGGGAGGGAGCCCCCUCCAAGUGCAUGCAAGUGCAUGGUGAAUCCAUGUCACUUUG
Long non-coding RNA from Alligator mississippiensis (American alligator), 967 nucleotides. RefSeq lists it as uncharacterized. NCBI's taxonomy places the organism in Eukaryota, Metazoa, Chordata, Crocodylia, Alligatoridae. The record is from RefSeq and is a predicted model, not a curated record. The transcript has 4 exons.